This 148-nucleotide non-coding RNA is filed under the name Homo sapiens (human). Lineage: Eukaryota; Metazoa; Chordata; Mammalia; Primates; Hominidae. The record is from Rfam by way of RNAcentral.
GCCAGGUGUGGUGGUGGGCACCUGUAAUCCCAGCUACUUGGGAGGCUGAGGCAGGAGAAUCACUUGAACCCAGGAGGCAGAGGUUGCAGUGAGCUGAGAUCACACCACUACACUCUAGCCUGGGCAAUAGAGUGAGACUCUGUCUCAA